GCCCUACGGGAGGCUGCAGGGAGGAAUAUUGGGCAAUGGGCGAAAGCCUGACCCAGCAACGCCGCGUGAAGGACGAAGGCCUUCGGGUCGUAAACUUCUUUUGAGGGAGACGAGAAAGGACGGUAUCCCUCGAAUAAGCCACGGCUAACUACGUGCCAGCAGCCGCGGUAAAACGUAGGUGGCGAGCGUUAUCCGGAUUCAUUGGGCGUAAAGAGCUUGUAGGCGGUUUCGUAAGUUGGACGUGAAAACUCCGGGCUUAACUUGGAGAGGCCGUUCAAUACUGCGGGACUGGAGGAUGUCAGAGGGGAGUGGAAUUCCUGGUGUAGCAGUGAAAUGCGUAGAUAUCAGGAGGAACACCCGUGGCGAAGGCGGCUCCCUGGGACAUCCCUGACGCUGAGAAGCGAAAGCUAGGGGAGCAAACGGGAUUAGAUACCCCUGUAGUCGA
RNAcentral lists this ribosomal RNA (445 nucleotides) under uncultured bacterium. RNAcentral describes it as "bacterial SSU rRNA". It matches the Rfam family "Bacterial small subunit ribosomal RNA", at positions 335 to 797 of the family's 1533-position model. The record is from RNAcentral.